GAUGAACGCUGGCGGCGUGCCUAAUACAUGCAAGUCGAGCGAACAGAUGAGGAGCUUGCUCCUCUGACGUUAGCGGCGGACGGGUGAGUAACACGUGGAUAACCUACCUAUAAGACUGGGAUAACUUCGGGAAACCGGAGCUAAUACCGGAUAAUAUAUUGAACCGCAUGGUUCAAUAGUGAAAGACGGUUUUGCUGUCACUUAUAGAUGGAUCCGCGCCGCAUUAGCUAGUUGGUAAGGUAACGGCUUACCAAGGCAACGAUGCGUAGCCGACCUGAGAGGGUGAUCGGCCACACUGGAACUGAGACACGGUCCAGACUCCUACGGGAGGCAGCAGUAGGGAAUCUUCCGCAAUGGGCGAAAGCCGGACGGAGCAACGCCGCGUGAGUGAUGAAGGUCUUCGGAUCGUAAAACUCUGUUAUUAGGGAAGAACAAAUGUGUAAGUAACUAUGCACGUCUUGACGGUACCUAAUCAGAAGGCCACGGCUAACUACG
RNAcentral lists this ribosomal RNA (495 nucleotides) under uncultured bacterium. Its description in RNAcentral is "partial 16S ribosomal RNA". It matches the Rfam family "Bacterial small subunit ribosomal RNA", at positions 28 to 505 of the family's 1533-position model. The record is from RNAcentral.